Rhododendron vialii is the source of this 3876-nucleotide RNA transcript. It is a transcript of the gene named pentatricopeptide repeat-containing protein At4g39530, with no coding region annotated. NCBI's taxonomy places the organism in Eukaryota, Viridiplantae, Streptophyta, Magnoliopsida, Ericales, Ericaceae. The record is from RefSeq and is a predicted model, not a curated record. The transcript has 4 exons.
CCAAUAAAGAAAUUCACGGGGAUGCAUCCUCGGUAGAAUGAGAAACAACCUUAUGAGAAGAUGCUGCUACCAACAAAUAACACUCGAUGCAAAAUCUUGUUAUAGAACUACAACAACAUCCACAACUAGUACCCAUCAAGCUUCCAAAUUCUCCACUUCUACUGCCCCGCUUCUUCCCCCACAAAACCCGUGCGUCCCAAUCGCUAAACGCCGAACCCAAAGGCAAGAACUCGUAAAACUCCUACAAAACCCCAAUCCAAACAACCCAUUUUCGCACUACAAAACCGUCCAUGGCCGCAUUGUCGUGUUGGGUUUUCAAUCCGAUACGUUUCUCUCAAACAUUCUCAUAAGUUUGUACGCAAAAGCUGGUUGGUUGAUCCAUGCUCGUCAACUGUUUGAUAAAGUGUCUCAAAGGAACGUAGUAACUUGGUCUUCGAUGAUUUCUUUGUACGGCCAACAUGGGUGUAGUGAAGAAGCUUUGAUGGUUUUUUUGGAGUUUAGGAGAAGCUCGAAUGAGAAGCCGAAUGAGUUUACGUUGGCUAGUGUCAUUCGGGCUUGCACGUGGUUGGGUGGUGUAGAAGAAGGCACCCAAUUGCAUGGCUUGGUUGUUAAUAUUGGUUUUGAUCAAGAUGUCUUUGUGGGUACUUCACUAAUGGACUUCUAUUCGAAAAACAACAAGAUAGACCAAGCAAGACUUGUUUUUGACAAAAUUUCCGUGAAAAGUGCAGUUACUUGGACAACGCUUAUGACAGGGUAUGCGAGAAUUGGGAGGAAUGAAGUUUCAUUGCAGUUGUUUAGAGCAAUGAGGGACAUUGGUGUUGUUCCUGACAGAUAUGUACUCUCUAGUGUUUUGAGUUCAUGUUCAAUGCUUGAGUUCCUCCAAGGAGGCAAGCAAAUUCAUGCUUAUGCGUUGAGGAGGGGAAUGGAAGAUGAUGUUUCGGUGUGUAAUGUGCUCAUCGAUUUCUAUGUGAAGUGUGGUAGAGUGAGAACUGGACAAAAACUAUUUGAUCAUAUGGCAGUUAAGAAUGUUAUUUCGUGGACCACAAUGAUUUCUGGGUACAUGCAAAAUUCCUUUGAUUGGGAGGCUAUGAAGCUGUUUAUGGAUAUGAACAGAUUGGGUUGGAAGCCAGAUGGGUUUGCAUGCACUAGCAUCCUCACUUCGUGUGCUUCACUUGAGGCUCUUGAACAAGGUAAACAAGUGCAUGCCUAUGCUAUCAAGGCAAAUCUUGAAUCCGAUGAGUUUGUUCAAAAUGGCUUGAUUGAUAUGUACUCGAAAUGUAAUUCUUUGACUGAUGCAAGAAGAAGUUUUGAUGGUAUUGCCUAUCUUAGUGUUAUACCUUACAAUGCAAUGAUUGAAGGGUACUCAAGACAAGAAAAGUUGUAUGAAGGAUUGGAUCUUUUCCAUGAGAUGAGGAUUGGAUCAUUCUCACCAAGCCUUUUAACAUUUGUAAGCAUUCUUGGUAUGUCAGCCUCACUAUUUAUGGUGGAACUCAGCCAGCAAAUCCACUGUAUCAUAACAAAAUUAGGAAUCUCUGUGGACAUAUUUGCUGGUAGUGCUCUUAUAGACGUUUAUUCCAAGUGUAGUUUCAUUAAAGACGCAAGACUGGUGUUUGAAGAGAUGAAUGAUAAAGAUAUUGUAGUAUGGAAUGCUAUGCUUUCCGGCUAUGCUCAACAGUUGGAAAAUGAGGAAGCACUCAAACUCUACUUAAAAUUGCAGCAUUCAGGUAAAAAAUCUAAUGAAUUUACUUUUGUUGCCCUAAUCACGGCAGCAAGUAACUUCGCAAGUCUCCCACAAGGUCAACAGUUCCAUAACCAGCUCAUUAAAACAGGUCUAGAUUUUGACCCAUUUGUUACCAAUGCUAUAGUGGACAUGUAUGCCAAAUGCGGAAGCAUUGAAGAAGCUCGCAAAAUGUUUGAUUCUACUACUUCUAGAGAUGUAGUGUGUUGGAAUUCCAUGAUCACCACAUAUGCACAGCACGGACAGGCUGAAGAGGCUCUUCAAAUGUUUGAAGAAAUGAUAAAGGAGGGCAUAGAACCGACUUAUGUCACAUUUGUUGGCAUUCUCUCAGCAUGUGGCCAUGUGGGGCUUGUAAAAGAUGGGCUCCGACACUUUGAAUCGAUGUCUACUUAUGGAAUUGAACCUGGCACAGAACAUUAUGCUUGCGUGGUUUCUCUUUUGGGUCGAGCUGGUAGACUUUCUGAAGCAAAGAUUAUUAUAGAGAGAAUGCCGAUACAGCCAGAAGCAAUAGUUUGGAGGAGCUUGCUCAGUGCAUGCAGGGUUGUGGGUCAUGUUGCACUUGGUACAUAUGCAGCAGAGAUGGCAAUUUCAGUUGAUCCUAAGGAUAGUGGGUCGUAUGUCUUGCUUUCAAAUAUUUUUGCAUCUAAAGGUAUGUGGGUGGAUGUUAAGAAAGUAAGGGAGAGGAUGGACCGCAGUGGGGUGGUGAAAGAAGCAGGAUGUAGUUGGAUUGAAUUGAAUAAUGAGGUGCAUGUGUUUGUCGCUAGAGACAAUGGGCAUCCCGACGCUGAUUUGAUUUGGUUAGUCUUGGAAAACUUAGCUCGGCAUAUCAAAGGGGUCAGUUAUGUUCCCGACAUCACUGCAAUUUUAACGAAUGAUUUUGGAGAAAUACAUGCGUAAUUUCCCAUUGGAACCUAAAUUUGACAGGGAGAGUAGGAAAAUGGCUAAUUCAGCUACUGAAAUUGAACCUCAAACUUUCAGCUUGUGACACUUUAUGCACAAACUGGCUGCCAUCAGGGUGUAUUCUAUAACCUCAAGGUUAAUAGCGGUUUUUGCAGAAACUGGCUACCCUCAAGUUCCAGCCUAUAACCUCAAGAUGGCAAGGACCCAAAAGAACAAAGCUAAUGCCCAACACUUCGGCUUGCUGAAGGUUGCGUCCUAGGAAUUCACUACCCUGACUUGCAUCUCUGGUGUGAUCAUGAAUUGGGGAGCUAAAAUUCAGGUAUUAUCAUACCUUCACGGAUGCCUUAAUUGUGUUUCUCCUAACCGUUUGUUCUGGCAAUGCUCUCUCUGUCGACAUGGGAACUGGGAUGGGGGAGCCUAGGUGCAGCACUACCGAUGCUCCACCGCAACCCGGGCAUGAUGGGUUGGAACUAAAACAAAAUCUCUUAAAUGUGGAAGUAUGGCUGCGUAUAUAUUUCGUAUCACGUGGCGCUGGGAGCCUCAUGGGCUGCCCUUUUUAUGGAGCAAAAAAUUGUAGCAGCCAUAGUCUUCUGACUUUAAUACCAAACAUGCUCUCAAGUUGUGCGUGGGGAAUUACGCGACAGUAUUAUGCAUGCUUAAUAGUUAGUUCCUUUUUUUCAUUGUUCCAUGAUGACUAGUGUUCUUUUUGCAACUACCAUCUUUAAAAAAUCUCUUGUUUUACUACCCAAUACAUAAAUCGAUGAACCCAAGGUGAGGAAUAUAUGUUGUUACAACUUCAGCAUACUGACUUUAAUUGCCACUCAUAAUGUACUUUUAACUGAUUUCCUUCAUUUUAUGCAGUUGUUGGAUCUCCCUGGUAUUAUCGAGGGUGCUAAGGAUGGAAAGGGUAGAGGGAGGCUGGUAAAGCAUGACUAGGUUUGUCAAUGGACCAGAUCCAAUCCAAACCCCUUCUGGAAAUUUCCGAUUCAAAUUUGGUAUCGCCAAUCCGAAUACUAAUUGAAUCAAAAUUGGAUACAUCGGAUCCAAUCCGGUUAUAAUCUGACCCAAACUUUUAUUUUUUAAGAAACCAAAACAUAUAGACCAACAAUGCACACACGCAGUGUGUGCGGGUACCCAUGUUUGAUGUGAAAGACUUUGUGUGAUUGUGUCUGUAAGUGUGUGUGAUUAGAGAAUUAUUGCCGGUAGAAUUUGAAUUGUUCAACCGAACUGGAAAAUUG